This 50-nucleotide non-coding RNA is filed under the name Nitratireductor pacificus pht-3B. RNAcentral's name for it is "Nitratireductor sp. Pht-3B Guanidine-II riboswitch aptamer (mini-ykkC)". It matches the Rfam family "Guanidine-II riboswitch aptamer (mini-ykkC)". From Rfam's summary of the family: Simpler in structure and has fewer highly conserved nucleotide positions than the ykkC-yxkD leader. Despite this each of its two stem-loop structures directly bind free guanidine. Lineage: Bacteria; Pseudomonadati; Pseudomonadota; Alphaproteobacteria; Hyphomicrobiales; Phyllobacteriaceae. RNAcentral also lists the same sequence under 1 other name. The record is from Rfam by way of RNAcentral.
AGACGAGGACGACCUCUCUCAUCCAGAACACACCGACCGGGACGGCCCGG